Molecule: ribosomal RNA, 497 nt
Filed under: uncultured bacterium
Lineage: Bacteria
Description: partial 16S ribosomal RNA
Rfam family: Bacterial small subunit ribosomal RNA
Source: RNAcentral
GAUGAACGCUGGCGGCGUGCCUAAUACAUGCAAGUCGAGCGAACAGACGAGGAGCUUGCUCCUCUGACGUUAGCGGCGGACGGGUGAGUAACACGUGGAUAACCUACCUAUAAGACUGGGAUAACUUCGGGAAACCGGAGCUAAUACCGGAUAAUAUAUUGAACCGCAUGGUUCAAUAGUGAAAGACGGUUUUGCUGUCACUUAUAGAUGGAUCCGCGCCGCAUUAGCUAGUUGGUAAGGUAACGGCUUACCAAGGCAACGAUGCGUAGCCGACCUGAGAGGGUGAUCGGCCACACUGGAACUGAGACACGGUCCAGACUCCUACGGGAGGCAGCAGUAGGGAAUCUUCCGCAAUGGGCGAAAGCCUGACGGAGCAACGCCGCGUGAGUGAUGAAGGUCUUCGGAUCGUAAAACUCUGUUAUUAGGGAAGAACAAAUGUGUAAGUAACUAUUCACGUGUUGACGGUACCUAAUCAGAAAGCCACGGCUAACUACGUG